RNAcentral lists this ribosomal RNA (769 nucleotides) under Cetraria obtusata. RNAcentral describes it as "SSU rRNA". It matches the Rfam family "Bacterial small subunit ribosomal RNA", at positions 248 to 1003 of the family's 1533-position model. Lineage: Eukaryota; Fungi; Ascomycota; Lecanoromycetes; Lecanorales; Parmeliaceae. The record is from RNAcentral.
GUAGUUAGGAUUUAAAGCCUAACUAGCUAGACGCACGUAGUCGUAACUGAAAGGUUGAUCGACCACAGUGGGCCUGAAUAAAGCCCAUGACGAUUGUCACAGCAGUGAGGAAUAUUGGUCAAUAGCCUAACGGCUGAACCAGCAACUUGGAGGAAUGUAUAGCAAUAGCUACUUGCAUCAUUGCAAUAUGAUGCAAGAUUGACUAUGUCGAAUAAAAUUCUAGGUAGAAUUAUGAUAAUGACAUUGUCUGCCUAUGUGUCUUGACCAAAUUACGUGCCAGCAGUCGCGGUAAUACGUAGAAGACUAGUGUUAUUCAUGUUUAAUCGGUUUAAAGGGUACCUAGACGGUAAAUCAAGCCUAAAUAGAAACAAAUGAAGGGACUAAUUUACUAGAGUUACUUAUGAGGGGGUAUUAAAGUACUGCUGGUGUAGAGAUGAAAUCUGUCAUACCUCUUUUCAAUAGAAAAAUAAUGGCACAGGUAUAGGCGAAGGCAUCCCCUUAUGUGAUAACUGACGUUGAGGGACGAAGGCUUUGUGUAGCGAACAGGAUUAGAUACCCCAGUAGUCAAAGCAGAAAAUGAUGAAUGUCAUAGAUUAGAUGUAUAAGUUUAUUCUAUAAAUGAAAGUGUAAGCAUUCCACCUCAAGAGUAAUUUGGCAACAUUGGAACUGAAAUCAUUAGACCGUUUCUGAAACCGUAGUGAAGUAUGUUGUUUAAUUUGAUGAUCCGCAAAAAACCUUACCACAAUUUGAAUAUUUAUAUCUUUUAUUG